UACAGAGGGUGCGAGCGUUGUUCGGAAUUACUGGCGUAAAGCGUGCGCAGGCGGUGAUGUAAGACAGUUGUGAAAUCCCCGGGCUCAACCUGGGAACUGCAUUUGUGACUGCAUCGCUGGAGUGCGGCAGAGGGGAUGGAAUUCCGCGUGUAGCAGUGAAAUGCGUAGAUAUGCGGAGGAACACCGAUGGCGAAGGCAAUCCCCGUGGGCCUGCACUGACGCUCAUGCACGAAAGCGUGG
This 240-nucleotide ribosomal RNA is filed under the name uncultured bacterium. Its description in RNAcentral is "partial 16S ribosomal RNA". It matches the Rfam family "Bacterial small subunit ribosomal RNA", at positions 524 to 764 of the family's 1533-position model. The record is from RNAcentral.